CCUACGGGAGGCAGCAGUGAGGAAUAUUGGUCAAUGGACGAGAGUCUGAACCAGCCAAGUAGCGUGAAGGAUGAAUGCCCUAUGGGUGGUAAACUUCUUUUAUAGGGGAAUAAAAUGUGCCACGUGUGGGAUUUUGUAUGUACCAUAUGAAUAAGGAUCGGCUAACUCCGUGCCAGCAGCCGCGGUAAUACGGAGGAACCGAGCGUUAUCCGGAUUGAUUGGGUUUAAAGGGAGCGUAGGUGGAUUGUUAAGUCAGUUUUGAAAGUUUGCGGCUCAACCGGAAAAUUGCUGUUGAAACUGGCAGUCUUGAGUACAGUAGAGGUGAGCGGAAUUCGUGGUGUAGCGGUGAAAUGCUUAGAUAUCACGAAGAACUCCGAUUGCGAAGGCAGCUCGCUGGACUGCAACUGACACUGAGGCUCGAAAGUGUGGGUAUCAAACAGGAUUAGAUACCCCAGUAGUC
Molecule: ribosomal RNA, 460 nt
Filed under: uncultured bacterium
Lineage: Bacteria
Description: partial 16S ribosomal RNA
Rfam family: Bacterial small subunit ribosomal RNA
Source: RNAcentral